Molecule: ribosomal RNA, 388 nt
Filed under: uncultured bacterium
Lineage: Bacteria
Description: bacterial SSU rRNA
Rfam family: Bacterial small subunit ribosomal RNA
Source: RNAcentral
AUUGAACGCUGGCGGCAUGCCUUACACAUGCAAGUCGAACGGUAACGCGGGGGCAACCCUGGCGACGAGUGGCGAACGGGUGAGUAAUACAUCGGAACGUACCCAGUAGUGGGGGAUAGCUCGGCGAAAGCCGGAUUAAUACCGCAUACGACCUAUGGGUGAAAGGCGGGGGAUCGCAAGACCUCGCGCUAUUGGAGCGGCCGAUGUCGGAUUAGCUAGUUGGUGAGGUAAAGGCNCACCAAGGCUACGAUCCGUAGCUGGUCUGAGAGGACGACCAGCCACACUGGGACUGAGACACGGCCCAGACUCCUACGGGAGGCAGCAGUGGGGAAUUUUGGACAAUGGGCGCAAGCCUGAUCCAGCCAUGCCGCGUGUGUGAAGAAGGCCU